RNAcentral lists this ribosomal RNA (465 nucleotides) under uncultured bacterium. RNAcentral describes it as "partial 16S ribosomal RNA". It matches the Rfam family "Bacterial small subunit ribosomal RNA", at positions 28 to 507 of the family's 1533-position model. The record is from RNAcentral.
GACGAACGCUGGCGGCGUGCUUAACACAUGCAAGUCGAACGGAAAGGCCCCUUUGGGGGUACUCGAGUGGCGAACGGGUGAGUAACACGUGAGUAACCUGCCCUUGACUUCGGGAUAACUUCAGGAAACUGGGGCUAAUACCGGAUAGGAAUCCUUGCUGCAUGGUGGGGGUUGGAAAGCUUCGGCGGUUUUGGAUGGACUCGCGGCUUAUCAGCUUGUUGGUGGGGUAGUGGCUUACCAAGGCUUUGACGGGUAGCCGGCCUGAGAGGGCGACCGGCCACGUUGGGACUGAGAUACGGCCCAGACUCCUACGGGAGGCAGCAGGGGGGAAUAUUGCACAAUGGGCGGAAGCCUGAUGCAGCAACGCCGCGUGCGGGAUGACGGCCUUCGGGUUGUAAACCGCUUUCAGCAGGGGCGAAGCUUGUGGUGACGGUACCUGCAGAAGAAGCACCGGCUAACUACGUG